This 21-nucleotide microRNA is filed under the name Equus caballus (horse). RNAcentral describes it as "eca-miR-9145". Lineage: Eukaryota; Metazoa; Chordata; Mammalia; Perissodactyla; Equidae. The record is from miRBase by way of RNAcentral.
UUAGCGUUUGAGUUCUGACAA